UCUGCCUCACUCUUCAUGCAUGUACUCUUCUUGUUGUAAUGCAUUCGGAAUUAUUUCAUCCUACCUAAAUUAAUAAAGUGACAACUACUCACAGCUGGAACGUUCUUCUUAGCUUCUUGAAGUUUAAUUUAUUUGUUUUAUUUACAAAAUUAGAUAGAUGUUUGAGAUGUUUCCUUUCUGUCCAUCUCUUAUGGAAGAUACCUUUAUAUUUUUUGGUUUUGAAGCAAUCUUGCACUUAAAACCGUGGCAUCUUCUAGUGUAAUUUCUGAUGAUAUAUAAUCUAAGAAUGGGAGCAUAUACGUCAAAACUGAGCUUGUGUAGGCCUACAAUGAAACUCAACCAGAUUACCACCGUGACCCAUUUAUAUCCGUAUAUAUUGUUGAUUCACCAAACAAUGGCCUAAACUUUUGGUUCUAUAAAUCGCUUAAUACAAUGAUGCUAAACUCAACCAUAUAUAUCAAGAGAAAUUAUUAUAUUAUAGAAAUUGCAUUCAUGAAAUGAAUAGUACUCCAUGAAUGGGAAGAUGGUAACUGUGUGAAGAUGUUGAGAAAUUGCUGGAAAUCUGGUUGUGGAGCUUCUAGUCUCUCAAGAAUUGGGAAUCCACACAUGGAAAUUAAUUUUUUCCCUUUCGUGAUUCUCCACCCCUCCUUUGUAGUGCCAAUACUUCUUUUUCAUGUAUUUUUGCUUUUCACAAUGAUAACAUUUAACUUUCUUCUUACCUUGGCAUUUUGACCUCUUUUGGUUGUGACACCCACUAGAACCACAUUCUCUUGGUCUUCCUUUAGAUAUAAUUAGAGCUUGAAUAUGUUGAGAAAAUGAUAUUUUGUCUUCCUUGGUUUUUGCCCUUACUUUCUUCCUCAAGCGUAGUAUCCACAACAUUAUUAAAUAUUAACAUCGUCUUUAAAGCACCAUUAGCCACAUUUAUGAUGAGAUAAUUAUAUGAAUGGGGUAGACUUUGGAGCAAAAGUUCAACAUGUCCUUCCCUUUUAUGUUAUGUUCUAUAGACUCUUCAUGUUUGAUGUGCUUAGUCAUCAAAGUUGAUUUUGACAUCCAAAGGAUAUAGAGUGUUCUUUUUAAGAAGAUUUUUUUAUACAAUGACUUGACUUCAUAUAGUUUUGCCAAAGUAUCGCCGACUAUAUUAUUAACUACCUCUAAAUGCAAGCUUGAAAUGACAUCCCUAUUCAUUUUUUGUCUUUUAACAUUUUCUAGUCUUUCACCGGUUACUUCUAAGCAAUCUUAUUUUCUGAUCUUUCACUAAUUACUUCUAAGCAAUUUUCUUCCCUCGAGAUGACUUUCAUUUUCAUUUUCCACAACUCAAAAUUUUUUUAUAUGCUCAAGUAAGCGAUGCUUGAAGCGAAGUGUCAUCCUUUCCACAAGGCUCAUGGAUUAAAUGUGUUCGAGUAUAUGUCCAAGGAUCCAAGGUCGAGCCGAAAGUUCAACGAGGGUAUGACAAGUAGCUCCAAAAUUGUAUUGGACAUGGUGUUGAAGGCAUAUAGGUGUGGUUUUGAGGAGAUGAAAGAGGUUAUGAACGUAGGGGGCGACAUUGGAACUUCAAUUGAGAAGUUGGUUUCUGUUUAUCCACACAUUCGUGGAAUAUAAACUUCGAUUUGCCACAUGUUGUCGAUGCACCUCACCAACCAUGUUGCUGGAGAUAUGUUUGAGUCAUUACCAAAUGUAGAAACAAUUUUAUUGAAGGUUACACCAUUGAAAUGAUUCUAACACAGUCUAGUCUUUUUAAAAUUUAAAAAUUAUUAUUUUAAAUAAAUUUUUUUGUUUCUUUAACUUUAAUUUUUUUAAAGCUUAGUUAAAUUAAUAUAUAAUUUUAAUUAUAAUAUAAAAAUAAAUUUAAAUUUAAAAUUUACACUUUUUUAUAAUUUUAUUUAAUGUUUUAAUUAUAGAAUAUUUUUAAUCUUUAUAAUGACAUAUAGAUACAAAUUUUCUCAGUUAGUUAUUUAAUUUUCUUAAUUAUAUGAUAUUUAUGAAUAAAAAUAUUAUUCUGCAAUUUUCUUUAUAAUUUUUAAAUUUAUAAAAUGAAUAAAUUUGUAAGUGUUACACAUAUUAUAAAUGACUUGGAUCAUAAACAUAUCAUUUUGAUACGAUUAAUUUAAUAUAUCAUUUUAACACAAACAAAUAGAUAGGAUAAACAAAUCAAACAAUCAAGUCCAAAUACAAUCGACUUAUUAAAAGAAUGAUAUGGAUUAAUAUAAUUACGAAAUGGAUACCAUUAUAAUCAUGCCCUUAUUAAUAACAACUUGUUAAUACUUAUUAAUGUUAUUAGUUAACUAUUGUAAUUAUAAUAUAAUAACCCAUGUUGCAUCUGGCGUGGGAUUAUCCAACUUUGACUAAAAUAAUCCACAAACAAUGUUAGUCGGUUGUGAUCUUAGUUCAAAUGAGACAACUUUUAAAACAUAUAUAAAAUUUCUCAAUUACAAAAGAUGUAGGCUUUAGCAUAAUGGCUAGCCACGACACUUUUUGGGGGACAAACAUUAGGCCUGAGGUUUGAUUCCCUUUGGGUCAUGUCUGGAUUGGCAUGGUGUACAUUGGGUCAAGGUCUAAAUUUCAUUCUUCUUUUUUAGAUGUUUUCAUGCAAUAUACCCAAAAACCCAAUAUUUACUUUUUCUUUUGCCUUUUUUUUCCUUUUUAUUUUUAUUUUUAUUUUAAAUUUUUUAAAUUUUUAAAUUUUUAAUUUUUUGGUUUUUUUCUUCGUCAAAAUGCAAUGGCUUUUAAUAUAAGUCUCUCUAUUUUGCCUUUGGAGAUUUCCGCACAAAUUCAAAUGUGAUGCAAGUAGUUGAAUUGCAAUAUUCUUACCCAUAAAAUCAUGGUCAAGAGAAUUCAAAUCUAGUUAUGUAAACAUUUGUGGGCCAGUCUGGGCAGGAGUGGGCUCACUCUAGGAUAGUAAUUUUUGGGUUGGGCCAGAGUAGGCCCAGUUCGACUUCACUUAGACUUGAAAUGUGCAAUUGGUUAGGCCGAAGUUAAGAAAAAAUUUUAAGAUGAUUUAAAGCACUUUUGAUAAAUCAACUUAUUAAUGUAAUAUGUGUUCCAAUAACAUAUAUAUGAUAUGAUUUAUGUAAUAUAAAAAACUCAAAUCAUUUGGUUUAACUCAAAUUGACACUAAGACCCUAAUUAGGAAUUUGACAUAUAUUUUAAGCUUAAUUUAAGGUUUAAGGGAGGAAAAUGAUACAAGUUGGAAAAAUAAUUCUCAAUCAAAAUAGACUAAGGGAUCAAUUAUGCCUAAAUAGAGAUUCAGCACUAGUGAGACAUGAGAAGGAUCCAUGCAAGGGGAAAACAAAGAAUUUAUGAAUAUUAAAUAUGAUAACUUAAUGUUAUGGAUGGAGGUAGAGGAAAAGCAACCAUGAGAAAGGAGGUUGGAAGUAAAUGUAAUCAAGCUUAAAAUGGAAUUUGGAGCUUAAAAUUGGCAAUAACACAUAUCUUAAUUUUAACAUGAUUUUUGAAGCACUUUCCAUGAUCUUUUUGGGGCAAACCAUAUAUAGUUUUGAAGUUCAAAAAGUCAAAAGUCCAAUGUUUUAAAUAGUGUGUAAAUUGGAGCUAAAAUGAAGAAGUUAUGAUCAUUUGAAAAUAACUAGGUAGAGUAGAAGGAUCAUUUUGAAAUAAUUUUGAAAAUUCAACUUAUGAUUUUGAAAUUCAUUUUGAAAUUACCCCGAUUUCAAAAUCACACACUGCCACUUCUAGAUUUCACCUCUUCGAGCUUGAUAAUUGUGUCUUGGGCACUCCAUCAACCUUAAGUGAGCCCCACAUGAUUGAAAAUCAAGAUUCUAGCCUUUUUUUUUUUUUUUUUAGUUAUCUUUUGGUAAUUAUUUUAGGAAAUAAGUGGUCAAUUGGUGCAUGUCACGUGUGUUUUUGUUUUUUUAAGAGGAGAAUUCUCUACGAUUCUUAGGGGAAAGGAAGAUCUUGAAGGUUUUUCUUGGUUUGUUUUCUUUCUCUUUGUAUUAGUGAAUAAAUUAUUGUUUUUAAUUUUUUGAAAUUAAGAAUAGUUCUUUCUUGUUCUUUUAUGACCUAUGUAUGUAAGAACACAUCCAUAAAAGGUUAAAAAGUUAUCUUAGGGUGAAACAUGAAAACCUAGUGUUAGAUAGAAAGGGAUAUAAUGAGUUAAAUCAUAUUAAUAAUGAAAUGAAUGAAAGGUUAAGACGCUAAUAUUAAGAUCAAAAUGCCCUCUAAAGUUAGUUUGACUUGGGAGAUGACACAAUUGCACAUUCUUUGAUAUUGUGGAUUCUUGGUAAUUCUUUAUCUUAGUCAUAUGAGGUUUGGUCAUUGUUAUCUACCCCAAAGCAAACCCAUGAAGAGUGGUGAAAACCUAAAAAUAUUAUACCUAAACUUAUAUUUCAUCUUCAUUCGUCUAUUAGGUAAUUUAAAAUGGAAUAAAAUAUUAAAAGUUAAGACAUAGUUCAAACUUUGAGAUAUGAAACUUAGGUUGAUCUCGUUAGAACAUAUAUUUUGAUUACCCUAAUACUAAUUAAAUUAUAUACCCUUGUUUCGUCUAAAAGUUUAUACCCUAAGUUAGAUUAUGGAACCCUAAUAUUGAUUAAUUGAAUUGAAAAUCAAUAAUCAUUUUUCAAUUUAAAUAGGUUUAUUUUAGGAAAUCUUUAUUUAUAUUUUAUUUUGAUUUAUUUACAUUAGUUUUUUUUAACCUUUAGCAAAUAAUUAAUCUUUCUAAUCUAAAAAUAAUUGAACCAUUAGAAUGGAUCCUAGAGGACGACAACCCAAAAUAUCACAAAGUCGUGGUAACUGACCCUAUCUCUAGUUUUUCUUGGUCAGGGUUAUCAUAUAUUUUAGUAUUUUAAUUACAUUAAAAAUUUGCAGUUACUCUACUACUUGUUAAUAAGUUUUAUCUUAUCUCUUUCUAAAGCACUCUAACUCCUUCACUUCAAUAGGGUUUUCUUAUGAAAACAAAAUUCUAAAAGAUAAUAGAGAGAAAAGAGAGACACAAACACAAUGAUAUAUUGUGGAAGAUAUAUAUAUAUAUAUAUAUAACUACAUGUCAAUCACAAAUGCAACAUCCACAAUAAAUAAAUAAAAAAUAAAAAUUGAGUACAACAUUUUACCUAACCCAAGACCUUCAAUCUCUCUCUCUCUCUCAUAUUGCUUAUCUAGUAUUUUAGAAAACUCAACAUCUAACUAUCUUCAUAUAAAACCUAUGUAGAAUCACCUCCAAACACUAUUUUUAUCUCUUCCUGAUACUCACAUGAGAAGAUAUUUAAGUUUUAUCCUACAAUAUGAUGAAAGAGUGUAGAGAUGGAGAGCAACAAUUAAACAACCCAUUUUAAAGGAAAAUUUUUCAUUAGAAAGAGAUUUUUUAGCUUAAAGACCCACAAACUUUCCCUAGUAACAAACACCUCCCAAAUUUUGGCAAAGAAUUUGAAGCUUAAGGAGCCAAUCAACUCUCAUAUUUAUGAAUCCCUAAUUUGAAAAUGAGUUAAAUUAGUAGGAACUUAGACCUAAUCCAAUAGCUCAAUUGAUUUAGAAAGAAAUGAAAUUUUAUAUGUUGUGAUCAAAUUUGGUUGAUCGCAUAUAAAUACUAAAACAUUUUGGAUUAUAAUUGUUCUAUCACCCUUUAGUGGGAUUUUUAGAACUUAAAUCAAUUGAUUUAAAACAAAGUCUUUUAUACCUUUUAAUAAAGCAUAACAAUUUGAAACUUGGUCAAUCAAUUUUUGAAUCCAUCCAUCACCUCAAAUCACUCACCAUUUUCUCUAUCUUCAAUCAUAACUAUUUUUAAAAUGAUAAGAGUCUAAACCAUCAAAGCUAAGGGUGCACGAUGGAAAUUUUAUCCCAAAAUUGCCUAUGUAUAAAGGUACUCACAAUCUCUCCCUUGGAAAUUCUAAGAUAAACCCUUUACAACCUUAUAUAUAUACCCUACAUACUCUCAUACAAGGUACACACACUCACUCAAUCUCAUAACUUCGUUAGAUACUACAAUAUAUGCAACCAAAACUUAAUAAAGAGUAAGUAGCACUUGUAUACUAAUGAUAAAAUAAUAAGAGCAAUCAACUUGUAGAAAUUUCUCCUCUUUUUAAUCUUAGAAAGAGACAAAGGGAAAUAUGAAAAUCUUUUCAAAGACAAAUAAAUUCAUAAUAGACACAAAUAGUGAACCUAAAAACAAACUCAAAUAGAGCACCAUACAACUAUAUAUAUAUAAGGAAAUUAAGCAAGAAGCUAUGAAGUAGAGCUCUAUAAAAAUAACCUUCUAGAAAUAUGAAAAAACUAAAAUUAAGCAAUAGAUUUUUGUUAUCUCAUGGGUUCUCCUAAUUACUUUAUGAUGAUAACAAAAUAAUAUUAAAUAUACUAACAUGUAUAAUCAUGUGAAGAUUUUAGGUUUAAUCAUUAAAUUUAAAACAAAGCUCAAGUAUGCUAAUUAUAGAUUUAAAUAGUUUGAAGAAAUGGAUUUUUUUAAGACUCAAAAUAUCUAGGAACUUAUGGAAGAUGAAUCUUACGGGUGUACUAAUUAGGAUAAAAUAUUUUUUUUAUGCACUUUUAAAUGGUUUUCAUUCAUAAAUAUGUGCUUUACUUCAAAACCUUAGGCUUAGUUGUUUAAAAAUUGACUUAUAAAGGUUUUUAAAUGAAAUAUUCAAGUAACGGAAGAACAAAACUUGAAACCAAAGUUUUCUAGGCUAUUUUUUGUGCAACUAGUCAAGCCCACUAGGGAAUUGGUUCAACCAAUUAUGCUAUUUUUUUUAAACUUGGGUUGAGGUUUAAGGAUGGUAUGGAGUAUUGCCUUGUCCCACCUUAUAUAUGAUAUUAAAUAAAAAAUUAUUUAAUUUAUUUUAUUUUCACAUUUUUAAGCAUAUAUAAAAUAAAAAAUUACAUUUCAUAACAAUAAAGUAUAAAAAUGUGAUAUUUAUUUAUAAACUACGUUUGUUUUAAAUAUAAUUUAAUAAAUAAAUGGAACUAAUUUUCUAUAUUAUGUGAGUUUUAUAUAUAUAUAUAUAUAUAUAUAUAUAUAUAUAUAUAUAUAUAUAUUUAUGAUAAUGAGAAUAAAUAUAAAUAAAUGAAUAAUAUUGAGAUAGGUGAUCUCACCCAAAGUGGUCCUAUUAUCAUCUUUAUUCUAAGGUACGUAAAUGGUUAACACUAAUCUAAUUUCCCAAAACAUAAAAUCCAAUUCUAAUUUUUCAAUGCAAAUUUUAAUUUUUAUCAAAAACACUUUAUCAUAAUACAUCGAAUCACCAAAAAUAUAAGAAAGAAAAAAAAAAUGUUAAAAGGGUAUUAAAAGUGAUUCCUCAUUUUACUUUUUAUUUACACUUUUUUUUUUACCUUUUUUUAAUGUAAUGGAAUGUAGAUUUUAAAAUGUAUAAAUUUCAUUUUUGGUAGUUAUCAUAUUUAAUUUUUCUUUUGUAUAUGUUCAUCCAAUUAAAUGGAUCUAAAUAAAAUCGUAUUUCUGUUUUAUUUAAAUCAUCAAAUAAUGUUUUUAAUAAUUAAUUUAUCAAAUAUUUUGCAACAAAGGCUCCAUGAUUAUUAAAUAAUAAGUUGAAAAUCCAUCCCUGUCACCUUUGUGGGAUAGGGAUGGAUGUCUGGGAUAUUUGUCAAUAAUUUUUUUUACUUUUUAAUAAAAUAAUAAUUUAAAAAAUAUAAAAAUCAUUUUAUUUAAAAUACAAGUCACAAUUAUUUCAAAUUAUUUUAAAAAAACAUAAUAGUUUUGGCUUUAAAUCAUUUCUGGUAGAUAUUGUCUAAAGGCAAAGGGCAUAACUUGGUGCCAUGUGGCCCGUGGCUUUAUACAGUUGUAAUAUGAGCAAGUUGCGCAAGGAAACUUUGGAGAGGACAAAGUGAAAGGUGGCGAUGGGGCCACGUCAUCACUACAGACCAAACUGAUAGUUUGAUUAAAGACAGUGGGUCCCAGCGUUUCAGCCCUCUCUCUAUCUCCAACUAUCAGUCUCCUCAUUGACCACUUGUCGGCAUCAGGAUAGCACAUGUGGCAGCUUGUUUCAAAAGAGUGUCUGAAACUUAUGGGUCCCACAAGUUCUAAGCCGUUGAUCUCGCUGCUGGUCUGUCGGCAGAGCUGGUAGAGCGACGCGUGUCCCCACCCUAAAAGCAGAUUUUGGCUUCUUUUCCAGCCACGGAUCAGACACGAAGAGUUCUGUGGGAAGGUGAGCCACGCGGUGGAGUUAGGUGGAUUUAUGUACUCGCGAGAUUUAGCAAUACGCGACACCGAAGUUUGGCCGUGUGUAACGCGUGUACAACUGGUUGGGCGAGUAUUAUGAUGUGAUCUAGUGAGGAUGUACCUUGCAGGUGAGGGGAAUGCGGAAAAAAAUCAAGUGUAGGUCAGGCCCAGGUCAGAAUCACAGCCGCUUAACGUGAUGGAGCCUUUGCGGAUAAGGUACCUUCCUUUUCAGAAUGACGAAACUACCCUGCAUUAAGUUUAACGGUCGGUUCUCGGACUUGCGUGGCAAAAAUAAUAAAUAUAUAUUUUUGAAAUUCUUUUAUAAAUCUAAAUAUCUACUCAAAAUUUCGUUCAAAUAGGAAUUCUCUGCCACGUAAGAGUUUGGAAUAAGAGAUUAAAAGGUACAAAAAUACGUGAAAUUACAAAUUUAACCUCUCAUGGAUUUUUAUUUAAAAAACCUCAUUUUAAAUAAAAAUACUCUUAAUUUUUUUAAUAAAAAUAAUAUUUUCUUUUAAAAUACAUAUCUAAAUAUUAUAAAUAUUUAAAGAUAUUUAUAUAAAAAAAUGAGUUAUUUUUCAAGUGCCAAAAUAGGAAAUGUUAAGAUUUUUUUCUUCAUUUUAAUUAUUUAAUCUUCUUAAAAUCAUAAUUAAUGACUAUAAUUUUAAUUUUUUAAAAAAAUAUUAUAGAUGUAUAUAUAUACAUGUAAAAAAAAAACCAAAUACAACAAUGUUGAUAUAAUAAGAAAAUAUUAAUUUGAUGAAUAUUUAAAAAAAAAAUCUAGGUUUAAAUUUUAUUCUAUUUUAUUUUUAAAAAAUAUUAAUUUCAUGUCAAACUCUUUGUCUUAAAUGGUGGUGUAAGAAAUUUUGAGAAAAGAAAAUAGAAUAAUAGGAAACAAGGUAUGUAAUUUGACUAGGGUCUAAUUAAUCGUGAUCUUUAUUACAUUAAUUCAAUUUAACUGUAAAAAUAGAUUGAAAUUAAUUAAAUUUGAUGUAGGUUAAAUAUAAUAUAAAUAAAAUAAAAUAAAAAACCCAACAACUUUAGCUUAAAGAAAAUUAAAAGACUUUUAAAGACAUACAUUAAUGAAUCAUGAUGCCAGAUCCGAGAACGGAAAAAAACAUCUAUAAAUUAAAUAUAAAACUCUUUCUUUUGAAUCUUUUUCCAAGGAUGCCAAUUGACACGGUUGAGGGCUAUUUCGUCUUUUUGAGGUCAGGCUCCUCCAUGUCACUCUCCUACAUUUCUCUUUCUCUCUGACACACAGACAAACGAGAAUUUGAAUUGGAAAAAAAAAAUGAAAAAACAGAAAAGGGGAAGCCCACAAACAGGUAAGCAUCCUUGUUGAUAUUUACGGGGAGAUUGCCUUUGUAACAAAGACAGUGGUGGCACGUAGGAACACCAACUACCUAUCUCUGUUUUCCUUAUCCCUUUCACACUUCCUCUUCCAACCGUUACUCUCCUCUCAACGCCAACCACCAGUGUCUAUUUCCAUUACCCUCCCUCAGUAUUCUUUCUCUUCAACGGUUACUAAGCUCUUUUAACGGCUAUUUUUCAUGAAUUUGGGGUCAUCUACGUGGUAGUGAAAGGACCAUUUUGAAAAAGUUGUUAAAUUUAAUUUUUUUUUUCUUAUAAGGGCGAUUUUGGCCCAAAACUCAUUAUUCAUGAUCCCUUAAGUUUCCAACUUCAAACGCAAAGCCCCCAUUCCUCCUGCACAGGAACACAGUAACAGAAGCAGAGGCAGAGGCAGAGGCAGACCCACAUGGAUUUCAGUUCGUUUCUGACGUCCUUAGGGACGUCGUUUCUGAUAUUCGUGGUUCUCAUGCUGCUCUUCGCUUGGCUCUCCAGGAAGCCUGGCAAUAGCGUCAUAUAUUACCCCAAUCGGAUCCUCAAAGGCAUGGAUCCAUGGGAGGGUGGGAAGAGGACCAGAAACCCAUUCGCUUGGAUCCGUGAAGCUAUCACUUCCAGCGAGGAUGACGUUAUUUCCAUGUCUGGCGUUGAUUCUGCUGUGUACUUGGUCUUCUUGAGCACUGGUUUGUCCUUCUCUUUUUCUGGGAUUUGUUUGUUUUGCAGGAAUUUGCCCGGAUUUGGUGGAUUUUAAACAAUUCUUUUUUAUUCUUUGAAUAUUUCUUACUUUAGUGUGGCGGAUUUGGAGAUGUAUUCUUCUUCUAUUAUCAGUUGGUUUUCUAGAAAAAUCUAAAAGAAGGAAUUUUGAGUUUGAGGACAUUGUUUCUAUGGGUUUUAGUAACUGUUCUUUUAUCAAAGCAUUCCGCCUAUAAUCAAAGCAAGAUGUUUUUAGGAUUCUGUUGUGUUGGGCAUAAAACACCUCUAAAUUUUGAAAAUUUAAUCACGUCUAGAGGAAACAUGAGGGUAGUGAUUAGGAGUGUGGAAACACACUCAUAUCCCUCUGAGAAGGUUGGCCAAGUCUCAUGUUUCUUAAACUGCAAUAGCCCAAGACUGUCUUUUGACGGAUGGAAAUACUAAAAAUUACUCUGAUCUUUUGUUUUCUUUUGUCAGGGGUAUCUUCCUUCCCUUUCUCUCAAGCUUUCUAGGCUUGAAUUUUCCAAUUUCAAUUCUUCUCACACUUCUUAAUUGUUUGACCUGUUUAGUUUAUAGGGUAUCUUCCUUCCCUUUCUCUCAAGCUUUCUAGGCUUGAAUUUUCCAAUUUCAAUUCUUCUCACACUUCUUAAUUGUUUGACCUGUUUAGUUUAUAGGGUAUUGAAUUUACUUCUUUUUUUCCCCCUUCCUUUGUUGAAUUGCACUUGUGGCCUAAAAUACUUGAAUGCUAUGGUAUGAUAUAUAUCUUGCCCUUGAUUCUGACCUUCAAUAUAAUAAACAUGGUUUUAAAGACGUGUUGCCUGGAGGGCCCAUAGUAUGGUAUAAUGAUGUUGACAGGGUCUGCUGCGGAUUUUGUAGUUUGGUGUGCAAUUAAGUAUUAGCCAAUAUCUUGGAUGGGUUGUCUUAAGCCUUAGAUAAUAUCUAGGUGAAUGAAGACAAGUCUUAGUUAAUAUAUCAUAUCAUAAAAGGAAAUUAGCUAAUAUGUAGCUGUCACUAAAGCAAUUAUUUCCUUGAGAGAUUAGAACAGAAAAAUUCAUCUUGAAAUAUGGUUUUAGUCGAAAGAGUUGACAAAACAAACUUCUGGUGGGGCAGUGCAGGGCACAAUGUGACUUUUAUGAUGACAGUGAAUACCUUUUAUCCAAAUCCUAUUAAAUGGUUUGAUACAGCAAUGCAACAAGGCAUCUAGUGAUCUUUCUUUUUAAAAAAAAUUUUCUUGUAUUUAUUUUUCUUCAUAUUGUAGGAAUAUGUUCAAUUUUAUUUAUUUUUCUUGACUGUCAACAUUUUUUUUGAUGAAAACUUAUGCAUUGGUUUACAUAUCAAAAGGCUGUCUGGUGUGAAUUUCUGUGCAUCUUUUGCAAGGGAGUCCAUCCCUAUAUCACAGUGAUUUCUGUGCAUCUUUAUGCCCCAUCAUGGUGUGAAUUUGCAGUGAAAAACUAUCCCCAAAUUAAGAGUUCACUUUUAUUGGAUACUAUAAUGUCCAAUGCGUGUAAGCUUAGAUGUCAAACUUGGUGGCGAAAAGCUUUCAUCUAGACUUCACAUGUUGCCUGCUUUUGACAAAAAGCUUGUUGGUGAAUCAACUACCCAAAGAUAUUCCAAAUUAGAAUUCUCUUUUAUUGGAUAUUAUGGCAGUCCUCAUUGUUGAUUUUUAUGACAAAAAAAGCAUGCAAGUCUUCAAACCUCUCAUUUUCUUAGUUCAUGUGCAGCUUUGGGAAUAUUGAUCUUAUCUGGCAUUGUGCUGCUACUGGUUCUUCUACCUGUGGCUGCCACUGACAAUAAUUUGAAGCUAUCGGCAAAUAGUUCUACAAGCAAUGGCACUUUCAAUGACCUUGACAAGUUAUCUAUGGGA
RNAcentral lists this long non-coding RNA (12002 nucleotides) under Vitis vinifera (wine grape). RNAcentral describes it as "long non-coding RNA (VVIN_LNC003175)". Lineage: Eukaryota; Viridiplantae; Streptophyta; Magnoliopsida; Vitales; Vitaceae. The record is from RNAcentral.